RNAcentral lists this ribosomal RNA (313 nucleotides) under uncultured bacterium. Its description in RNAcentral is "bacterial SSU rRNA". It matches the Rfam family "Bacterial small subunit ribosomal RNA", at positions 30 to 334 of the family's 1533-position model. The record is from RNAcentral.
AUUGAACGCUAGCGGAGUGCCUUACACAUGCAAGUCGAACGGCAGCAGUAAGAGAGCUUGCUCUCUUGAUGGCGAGUGGCGAACGGGUGAGUAAUGUAUCGGAACGUGCCCAGUAGCGGGGGAUAACUACGCGAAAGCGUAGCUAAUACCGCAUACGCCCUACGGGGGAAAGGAGGGGAUCCGCAAGGACCUUUCACUAUUGGAGCGGCCGAUAUCGGAUUAGCUAGUUGGUGAGGUAAGGGCUCACCAAGGCGACGAUCCGUAGCUGGUUUGAGAGGACGACCAGCCACACUGGGACUGAGACACGGCCCAG